ACGGAAGGUGCAAGCGUUAUCCGGAAUCACUGGGUUUAAAGGGUGCGUAGGCGGCGUAAUAAGUCAGAGGUGAAAGCUCACAGCUUAACUGUGGAAUUGCCUUUGAUACUGUUAUGCUUGAAUUAGGUUGAGGUUGGCGGAAUGAGUCAUGUAGCGGUGAAAUGCAUAGAUAUGACUUAGAACAUCGAUUGCGAAGGCAGCUGGCUAGACCUUAAUUGACGCUGAGGCACGAAAGCGUGGGGAGCGAACAG
This 251-nucleotide ribosomal RNA is filed under the name uncultured prokaryote. RNAcentral's name for it is "partial 16S ribosomal RNA". It matches the Rfam family "Bacterial small subunit ribosomal RNA", at positions 525 to 775 of the family's 1533-position model. The record is from RNAcentral.